This 209-nucleotide ribosomal RNA is filed under the name Cladosporium tenuissimum. RNAcentral describes it as "partial 26S ribosomal RNA". It matches the Rfam family "Eukaryotic large subunit ribosomal RNA", at positions 76 to 283 of the family's 3401-position model. Lineage: Eukaryota; Fungi; Ascomycota; Dothideomycetes; Cladosporiales; Cladosporiaceae. The record is from RNAcentral.
UGCUCUAGUACGGCGAGUGAAGCAGCAAUAGCUCAAAUUUGAAAUCUGGCGUCUUCGACGUCCGAGUUGUAAUUUGUAGAGGAUGCUUCUGAGUAACCACCGACCUAAGUUCCUUGGAACAGGACGUCAUAGAGGGUGAGAAUCCCGUAUGCGGUCGGAAAGGUGCUCUAUACGUAGCUCCUUCGACGAGUCGAGUUGUUUGGGAAUAA